This 254-nucleotide ribosomal RNA is filed under the name uncultured bacterium. RNAcentral's name for it is "partial 16S ribosomal RNA". It matches the Rfam family "Bacterial small subunit ribosomal RNA", at positions 524 to 776 of the family's 1533-position model. The record is from RNAcentral.
UACGUAGGGUGCGAGCGUUGUCCGGAAUUACUGGGCGUAAAGAGCUUGUAGGUGGUUUGUCGCGUUGUUCGUGAAAUCUCACGGCUUAACUGUGAGCGUGCGGGCGAUACGGGCAGACUAGAGUACUGCAGGGGAGACUGGAAUUCCUGGUGUAGCGGUGGAAAUGCGCAGAUAUCAGGAGGAACACCGGUGGCGAAGGCGGGUCUCUGGGCCGAAACUGACGCUGAGGAGCGAAAGCGUGGGGAGCAAACAGG